UGGUUCAGUGAUCUUGGAGUGAUGAU
This 26-nucleotide non-coding RNA is filed under the name Homo sapiens (human). Lineage: Eukaryota; Metazoa; Chordata; Mammalia; Primates; Hominidae. The record is from RNAcentral.